CGCGGGUUGGCGCACGGUGCCAAGCCCCUCGCGGUGCACCCUGGCCCUCGCGGCCUCUGCUUGGGGCGCUCUAGCAGCGCGGGGACUGUUGGCUGACUUCUGGUGGGUUGCAGUUAACUGACACAGCUUGUCAGCAGGGGAAAACCAGGUUGCCCCAAGGACUUACCGACGCCCCCAAAAUAGAUCCCUGCUUCCUGCGUUCCUUUCCCUCCCUCUCCCCCACUUUCUCCCUCCCUCUCCCCACCCCUUCUCAUUGCCGCUAACCUUUCCCUCUCUACCCUCCUUCUCCCGCCCUUUUUCUCAGCCUACAGUUCCAAUUCCAGCGCAGGUAUGAACACCAGAUUUUAGGUCUGCAAACUGACUCGAGGCAUUCCCAGUAGCGCAAGCUUUCCAGGGUUGACAGGGCAUUUUCUUCUGUGCUCAGCUGGCCUAACCAAAAGAAAGGAGUGUCACCUCAUCUCAUCAUCUUUUGGAUAAAUCUAGAACCACGGAGGAUUUAAUUCCAAGAAGGCUGAUCCAGCAAGUGAUUUUCUUUGGAGUGGAUAACCAUUUGUUAUAGCCAUAGCGAUUUGAUUGGUGGAGCCGAUGGCCUCCCUUAGCCAAGGUAGAUUGGCUGUCUUUUCUUCCCGCGCAGGCAGUAAAGGAAACCUCGUCACUUACUUCACCCCUGAAAGCAGUUUGGGUUCACAGUCUUUAAGGAAAACUCCAGAAUACCAGGAGUUUGGGGAGGACAUUGAUCUUUCCGUUCCGCCCAUCCAUUCCCUUUUUACCGAUUUUUUUUAAUUGCAAAGAAAAAAAAAGUUACACACAAACGGGGUAAAAUAUAUGAACCAAACAUAGUGAGACAGUUGCUUCUUUUUCUCCAGGUCUUUUAUAGCUUCCCAAAAGGACAGAGGGAACUGUGGGCCUCAUAGGUUUCCCAGAUUUUCCGUAGUUGUUAGAAACUUAGGUUUUCCUUCGCGUCCGCUUCCCUGCGACCUGUUGAUGACUCCGAGUGGCGGAGCGCGAAGCUCUGCGUUGAAGUUGGUUAUGUAAACUGCUUGUGUAUUUCACAUUAUCAUCGCACUGUCUGGAGGCAAUGUAGAUUUUCUAAAGAUCUAAUGAAUAAACAACCAGCAACUGCUGGCGGUGUAAUUUACAUUGUUAAUGCCUACAUGUGUAUAAUAAAUAUGCAUUUGUAUGCCUUCAAAUAAACUCUUUUCAGUUUCUAA
Molecule: non-coding RNA, 1211 nt
Organism: Macaca mulatta (Rhesus monkey)
Lineage: Eukaryota; Metazoa; Chordata; Mammalia; Primates; Cercopithecidae
Source: RefSeq, a predicted model, not a curated record